Pangasianodon hypophthalmus (striped catfish) is the source of this 929-nucleotide long non-coding RNA. RefSeq lists it as uncharacterized. Lineage: Eukaryota; Metazoa; Chordata; Actinopteri; Siluriformes; Pangasiidae. The transcript is spliced from 3 exons. The record is from RefSeq and is a predicted model, not a curated record.
AGCUCCGUACACACAGGGCGGAGACAGGAUUCGAGGCUCCAACCCUGGAGGUGCGAGGCAAACAUGAUAACCACUAAGCCACCAUGCCCCCCUAGUAAAGUCACAUGAACCUCACAUGAGAAUAAUCACAUGAUACACAUUUAAAUUUAUGCACUGGAUCCCCUCAAGGAUGCCACCUCCUGUACUCCCUAUAUACACAACACUGCUGUCAUCCACAGCCCUGACGUCAUGAUUAAGCUUGCUGAUGGACACUGCUGUGAUAAGACCAACAAUCUUGGUACCCCAACAACAAGAGUGAGCCAUUUCAAAUUUCUGGGUGUCAAGAUCUCAGACUUGGUCUCAACACAUUGACAUGCUGCUAAAAACGCACAACACCACCUCUAUUAUAUCUCUACAAAAAUUCAGGUUUCUCAACUUUCAAAACCUGCCCCCAAUCAUCCUCACACAUUUUUAUCUACAGACAGCAGAGAUGGAUAACAUCAUUUGUUCUCUGCAAAUGUGCAGAGACUCAGGAGAAGGCACUCACACUUCCCAAAGGCACUCGUCAUUUUAAGCAGGACAAAAAGCUGCUCAUCAUUUACUCAACAUAAAGUACUUUAACAACAUAAACACAUACUACGCCUUAAGGGAAUAUGUCUCAUCUCACCGUCAUCUGUCCCCAUAUACAAGCACAACAUGCACAUAUUGCACAUACACACUUCACUUCACACUAACUGAUGUCCAUUCAUGUGCAUCACACUGGUGUGUCUUGUCUUGUCCUCUUGUGUAUAUGUAUAACGUACAUAACAGAGCUUCUCCAUAUGAUUUUCCACAAUUUUUUUAUUUUAUUUUUAUUCUGUAACAGCUGAGUACCUAAGCGUACCUUGUUUUGUUUACACAACGCUACUACCUUAUGUGUCACACUGUAUGUCUACCUACCCUAUGUGUCC